AUUGAACGCUGGCGGCAUGCUUUACACAUGCAAGUCGAACGGUAACAGGCCGCAAGGUGCUGACGAGUGGCGAACGGGUGAGUAAUGCAUCGGAACGUGCCCAGUCGUGGGGGAUAACUACUCGAAAGAGAAGCUAAUACCGCAUACGAUCUAUGGAUGAAAGCGGGGGACCGUAAGGCCUCGCGCGAUUGGAGCGGCCGAUGUCAGAUUAGGUAGUUGGUGGGGUAAAGGCUCACCAAGCCAACGAUCUGUAGCUGGUCUGAGAGGACGACCAGCCACACUGGGACUGAGACACGGCCCAGACUCCUACGGGAGGCAGCAGUGGGGAAUUUUGGACAAUGGGCGCAAGCCUGAUCCAGCAAUGCCGCGUGCAGGAAGAAGGCCUUCGGGUUGUAAACUGCUUUUUUACGGAACGAAACGGCUCUGGUUAAUACCCGGGGCUAAUGACGGUACCGUAAGAAUAAGCACCGGCUAACUACGUG
This 482-nucleotide ribosomal RNA is filed under the name uncultured bacterium. Its description in RNAcentral is "partial 16S ribosomal RNA". It matches the Rfam family "Bacterial small subunit ribosomal RNA", at positions 30 to 507 of the family's 1533-position model. The record is from RNAcentral.